CCGGCAGCUUGUAUACUGACUGCAUCUGCACUUUUAAAACUUUAGGCUUCUGAUUUGCUGCUUAAAGAAAAGCUACAGCUCUCAAAGCUCUACCUUUGUUUAUGAGCGAAAAGUGAAACUUCCUGAAGUCUUGCCUGGACACAGACCCAGAAGACACUCACACAGAAGGGAUAAGGAAGGGGGUCUUAACUGUCGUUGAAGAUGAUGUUGCCACCAUCCAUUCAACCCCAAAUGUAAGGUGCCUGUCUGUGGUUUUAGAGGAGCAAGUUGUGCUGGAUAAUGUGCAAGACGUCCCUACAGCUGUUGCUCUCCUAUUUGACUUGAUUUAUGCCAUCAAAAUCCUUCGCUCUCCUAAAGAACUAAAAUACACGUUUGAAACUAUUCAGAAAGUGUUUCUUGGCCUUGACCCCCAGUGCUCUGCAAGAGUCCAGUCCUUCAACAACAAACUGUUCAAGUUGAAGUAGCUGCAGUUCAUAUGGCUGAUCAAAAGUGCAAGUACGGAUUUGUUCCUGUUUGUUUAGUAGCUGUAUCACAGUACAACAUAGGCCAAAGUCAGUUUUGAGUUUUAGUGUAAGGUUUUAUGACUGUUAAGUUUUGUUUAUAACAGCUGUAAUACUUGAUUGCUCUUGCGAUGUGUUGAAACUCUGCUUGUUUAUUGCUGCAGCAUUAAGAUUGUUGUUCUGGCACUUUGAGAACAUUUUUUUACUCCAGCACUUUAAAAGCAUUUUUUGUAUUUUUCCAACAGUUUAAAAGCAUUUGUGUUGUUUUACUCCAGCAUUUUAAAGGCAUUAAAAGAUUGCCUUUUUUGUCUUUGAUUUUAUUUCAAUUUUAUUAAUACAGUGGAACCCACUUAUCUCGCCCUCGGUUAACUCGACAACACUAUUAAGUCGACGUUUUUGAAGCAGAAUCGCCAAAUUCUCACUUUGUCUUAGCAUUUUUUAAUCAGUUAUGUCGAUUCUUUUAUGUUGACGAACCCUAAUAUCUCGAGCACAAGGAGGGGCAAA
Long non-coding RNA from Silurus meridionalis, 1004 nucleotides. RefSeq lists it as uncharacterized. The record is from RefSeq and is a predicted model, not a curated record. Lineage: Eukaryota; Metazoa; Chordata; Actinopteri; Siluriformes; Siluridae. The transcript has 3 exons.